UACGGGGGGGGCAAGCGUUGUUCGGAAUUACUGGGCGUAAAGGGCUCGUAGGCGGCCAACUAAGUCAGACGUGAAAUCCCUCGGCUUAACCGGGGAACUGCGUCUGAUACUGGAUGGCUUGAAUCCGGGAGAGGGAUGCGGAAUUCCAGGUGUAGCGGUGAAAUGCGUAGAUAUCUGGAAGAACACCCGUGGCGAAAGCGGCUCUCUGGAACGGUACUGACGCUGAGACGCGAAAGCGUGGGGAGCGAACAGG
RNAcentral lists this ribosomal RNA (253 nucleotides) under uncultured bacterium. RNAcentral's name for it is "partial 16S ribosomal RNA". It matches the Rfam family "Bacterial small subunit ribosomal RNA", at positions 524 to 776 of the family's 1533-position model. The record is from RNAcentral.